UGGCUUUCUUAAGAAUGUCGUAUAAACUGAGUCAUGGAGUAGGUAGCCCUUGGUAUCCUGCUUCUUUCAGCUAGCAUAAUGCAUGUGAGAUCCAUUCAUGCUGUUGUGCAAAACAGUAGUUUGUUUCUUUUUAUUGCUGAGUAAGGAUUUUAUUGUAUGGAAUGUACCAGUUUGUUUAUCCAUUCUCCAGUUGAGAAACAUUUGGGUAGUUUUUAGUUCCUGGUGAUGACAGAUAAAGCUGCUGCAAACAUUCAUGUGCAUAUUUUCGUGAGGAUGUAGUUUUCAUUUCACUUGAGUAAAUGCAAAGCAGUGAGAUUGCUGGGUCAUACAGUAUCCUUCUAAUUAAAAUAUCUGACCAUGUCCCCAUCAGCCACUUGCCUCAUUUGGGACACCACCAACCAUCCUGCACGGCUGCCCAUGUUUCUGUUUCUCCAGCCCAAGCAUGCAGUUUCAGUAGGUCCUUCAGAGGCUGCCUGAAAGGAGCUCCUGAAUUUCACAGACAAAUCCAGACCCCUGUGUGGAAAGCCUGCGGUGGUGUUCUCCGUCUUCCCACAGGACUCCCUGCAGCCAGGAAUUCUAGGGGAGCACCUGACGCGAGGUAUACGCCCAGAUGGCCUGAAGUAACUGAAGAAUCACAAAAGAAGUGAAAAUGUCCUGCCCCGCCUUAACUGAUGACAUUCCACCACAAAGGAAGUGUCAAUGGCUGGUCCUUGCCUUAACUGAUGACAUUCCACCGCAAAAGAAGUGAAAAUGGCCGGUCCUUGCCUUAACUGAUGACAUUACACCACAAAAGAAGUGAAAAUGGCCGGUCCUUGCCUUAAGUGAUGGCAUUACCUUGUGAAAGUCCUUUUCCUGGCUCAUUCUGGCUCAAAAUCACCCCCACUGAGCACCUUGUGACCCCCACUCCUGCCCGCCAGGGAACAAUCCCCCUUUGACUGUAAUUUUCCUUUACCUACCCAAAUCUUAUAAAAUGGCCCCACCCCUAUCUCCCUUUGCUGACUCUCUUUUUGGACUCAGCCUGCCUGCAUCCAGGUGAUUAAAAGCUUUUAUUGCUCACACAAAGCCUGUUUGGUGGUCUUUUCAUACGGAUGUGCGUGAAAACCACAAUAUUCCUGUAAGCCAAAGUCUAACUCAGAGCGAGGCCCUUACCCUCUUAUACUCUGUGAAGGCUGAGAGAGGUGAAAAAGUUGCAAAAGAGACAUUGGAAGCUAGCUGAGGUUGGUUCAUGAAGUUUAAGGUACGAAACCGUUCUGUAACAUAGAAG
RNAcentral lists this long non-coding RNA (1264 nucleotides) under Homo sapiens (human). RNAcentral's name for it is "HSALNT0299465". The record is from RNAcentral. Lineage: Eukaryota; Metazoa; Chordata; Mammalia; Primates; Hominidae.